RNAcentral lists this ribosomal RNA (478 nucleotides) under uncultured bacterium. Its description in RNAcentral is "bacterial SSU rRNA". It matches the Rfam family "Bacterial small subunit ribosomal RNA", at positions 9 to 531 of the family's 1533-position model. The record is from RNAcentral.
GAGUUUGAUCCUGGCUCAGGAUGAACGCUGGCGGUCGGCCUAACACAUGCAAGUCGAACGGAUUCUUCGGAAUUAGUGGCGGACGGGUGAGUAACGCGUGAGAAUUUGCCUUUCGGAUGGGGAUAACAGGGGGAAACCCCUGCUAAUACCCAAUGUGCCUAGCGGUGAAAGAUUUAUCGCCGAAAGAGAAGCUCGCGUCUGAUUAGCUAGUUGGUGGGGUAAAGGCUCACCAAGGCGACGAUCAGUAGCCGGUCUGAGAGGAUGAUCGGCCACACUGGGACUGAGACACGGCCCAGACUCCUACGGGAGGCAGCAGUGGGGAAUUUUCCGCAAUGGGCGCAAGCCUGACGGAGCCAGACCGCGUGAGGGAAGAAGGCUCUUGGGUCGUAAACCUCUUUUCUCAGGGAAGAAAAAAAUGACGGUACCUGAGGAAUCAGCCUCGGCUAACUCCAUGCCAGCAGCCGCGGUAAGACGGAGG